This 1704-nucleotide ribosomal RNA is filed under the name Parcubacteria group bacterium GW2011_GWB1_42_9. The record is from RNAcentral.
GGAUUAGAUACCCCGGUAGUCCACGCCCUAAACGAUGAUCACUAGCUUUUCGGAGUAUCAACCCUCUGAGAGGCGAAGCUAACGCGUUAAGUGAUCCGCCUGGGAAGUACGGCCGCAAGGCUAAAACUCAAAAGAAUAGACGGGGACUCGCACAAGCAGUGGAUCAUGCGGUUUAAUUCGACGAUAAACGAAGAACCUUACCAGGGUUUGAAACCCAAAUGAAAGCCCAGCGAAAGUUGGGAACUCUCACAAGGACAUUUGGGCAGGUGAUGCAUGGCUGUCGUCAGUUCGUGGUUUGAAUUGUUCCCUUAAGUGGGGUAACGAACGCAACCCUUGUCGUCUGUUAUAUUUGUCAGACGAGACUGUCCUGUUUAACAGGAAGGAAGCGAGGAUGACGCCAAGUCAGCAUGUCCCUUUGACAUCCUGGGCUACACGCAUGAUACAAUCGCCGUUACAAUAGGUCGCGACGGGGAAACCCUGAGCUAAUCCUAAAAGGCGGCGCCAGUUCGGAUUGAGGUCUGCAACUCGACCUCAUGAAGCCGGAAUUGCUAGUAAUCGCAGGUCAGCUAUACUGCGGUGAAUACGUUCUCGAGUCUUGUACUCGGGUCGCCAUGCGAUCGAGUACGCUAGUUGGUGAAAAUCCAACCAAGACCAUUCACAGGGUUUUGAAGCGAAAUACCAGUCUGUUUCCGUGAGGGGGCAGGUGAAGGGGUAAACCUCUUUUGUUAGAGGCUCUAACUUUAAAUAUAGGUUAGAGGUAGCAUUUCUUAGCUUGAAUGUCAGUUAUUAGGCGCUAUACAGAGGCGAUCCUGCGAGUACAGGGAGAAGCUUCUGUGAUAUCAAAAGCUGUAUAGCGUGCAGUGGCAUCGAGAUAAGAGAAAAAUGUGUAUCGGUUACCGUGGGAGAUCUUGCAGGGUCUCUCGGUGUUUGCUAACAUCGAGAGUAUAGAAGUAAGUAAUUAUUCUAAAAGCGAUGCAAGAAGUCAGCAGAGUUCGUAGUACCAAAAGGAAGCCGUUUGUCAGAAAUGAUAAAUUAGCCGAACCUUUUGGGAAGGAACAAAUUUGUAGGGAGAAACUUGAUCCCAAUUAUGUCGCUGGUUUUAUCGAUGGCGAAGGAUCUUUUUCUGUUAGUAUCGGCAAGCACAAAACCUUGAAAAGAGGUUUUGAAAUCAGACCGGAGUUUGAAAUAGAACUGCGGGAUGAUGACCGAGAAAUACUAGAGAGGAUUUUGGUCACGAUAGGGUGUGGCAAGAUCUAUGAUUGCUCGUAUGAGCGUUAUGGUUGGUUUCCGCACGCUAAAUAUAAAGUCACUAGCAGUAAGACAAUGAGGGAUGUGUUAUUUCCUUUUCUCGAUUCUCAUCCUUUACAAGCUAAAAAAGCCGGAUCCUAUAAAAUUUUUAAGGAGAUUGUUUUGAUGGCUUGUGAUAAAAAGCAUCUUAGCGAUGAAGGAUUUAAUAAAAUCGUUCAUCUGAGAGAUGAAUUAAGAAAGAGAGGGAAAAAAGCGAAGACCUACAAAAACCGCGAGAGUGCGGGAAAGCCGCUCGCUCCGUGGUGUGGAAACCUUGACAAGUAAUUGCAAGUGUAUUCUAAUACCGCCCGUCAAGCCAAGGGAGCCGGGAGUACCCAAAGCACCACUUCGGUGGUUCUAAGGUAAGUUCGGUAACAAGGGUUAAGUCGUAACAAGGCACGGCUAGCGGAAGCUGGU